ACAGUUAUGGCGGUUUAUUGAAUAGUCUCAACCGUUAGAGCAGCAGGUACGCUGUGUUGUGCUGCUUUCUGCUUCAGAGUUAGUGAGUUAGUCUGUAACAGUUUAAUCUAGAACAGGUCUCACAUCUAAGUAUGAAAAGCAAAGAAGAAAUGAAACCGAUGUUCCUUUGCAUUGGACUGAACGUCUUUCUUCCGUGACUCAGCAUCUGAAGUUUCCAAGAAGAGAUUCUUGAAAGUACAGCCUUUUCUUCUCUAGUAUCAUCUCCUUGCCAGGCGAGCAAUCCAUAAAGCUGUUACACACCUUCAUCUUAGCUCUUAUCCACCUCACAGUCCUUUGAACUCAGAAGGACUUGAUUUAGGUUAAACAUCAGGAAGAAUUUCCUAACCAUCAGAAUAAUUGGGCAAUUGAACAAAUUUGCCACGGGAAGAUGCACAGUCCCCCAUUAUUCUGAAGUUAUUAAACAGAGGUGAAACCUCCCUCGGUGAUGAUUUGUGAAGAGAAUGGACAAAGCUGCAAAAAUAAUAGCCCCCAAAAGCCUCAGAUAUGCACACCUCCUCGUUGGACAUUCAUUAUCAACCCUCGUGUUCGUCUUUUAUCUACAAGUCCUCUUCAGUGUUCAGCAUAAACUACAUGGACACCUUGCAGAUUGACAUUUCUUCAUUCAUGCUUUACCUUAAACAGCAUGCAAAGACAUCAAAGAAAUGGAGCUGGCUUUGAUGUUACAAAAUGAAAAACGCCUCAUGAUUUGCCAAGACCAGGGGAACUUCUAGUUUGCGCUCUCUCUCUCUCUUUCUCUCUCUCCUCCACCUUAAAGGUGGGGGGAGAUCCAACUUCCCUUCAGACAUGUGAAAAAUCUUUUCCUAUUGUUCGACCAAUUUACCCAAAUGUUGCUUCCCAGCUGAAACACAAACCAGCGUGGACAACCUUUUUCUCAGUUAAGGGUCUCAUUCCUUCAUAAGUAAUCUAUUAAGGGCCAAGGGAUAAAAGUGCCCUGGAUUAGCUAAUCCAGACUAAAGAAGGGCAUGCUCCAACUUUCACCAUGGUCAUCUCAGGAGCAGAACGACGACCAGAUAGGAGGAUAAAAUGAGAGUUGCCUAAAGCAAACCAUGGAGGGUGGAAUUUGAAGGCUCCUCUUUUGGGAGUUGCCUCUUUGGAAACUGGACAGUUUCAGAAAUCCCUGCUUGGGAAUUUCAAGCAAAGUUGUAGGAGUUUCAUUAGGUAUAGUUUCUAGAAGGGUCACCUUUCAUGUUGUAAAACCAGCCAAGAAACUUGUGCUACCUGAAAAACUGAAAAAAAUUAUGGUGGCAUAAGCUUUCAUGGACCAGGGUGCAGUUCAUCAGACGCAUGGAGAGAGAGACAGAGGGAGAGAUCUUUCACCAAACUCAGG
Podarcis raffonei (Aeolian wall lizard) is the source of this 1387-nucleotide long non-coding RNA. RefSeq lists it as uncharacterized. The transcript has 3 exons. The record is from RefSeq and is a predicted model, not a curated record. Lineage: Eukaryota; Metazoa; Chordata; Lepidosauria; Squamata; Lacertidae.